GGGCGUGUGGUCUAGUGGUAUGAUUCUCGCUUUGGGCGAAGCCUGGCUGUAACCGGGUUUGACUACUAAGCAUGCGAGAGGCCCUGGGUUCAAUUCCCAGCUCGCCCC
Eremothecium cymbalariae DBVPG#7215 is the source of this 108-nucleotide transfer RNA. It matches the Rfam family "tRNA". Rfam says of the family: Transfer RNA (tRNA) molecules are approximately 80 nucleotides in length. Their secondary structure includes four short double-helical elements and three loops (D, anti-codon, and T loops). Further hydrogen bonds mediate the characteristic L-shaped molecular structure. tRNAs have two regions of fundamental functional importance: the anti-codon, which is responsible for specific mRNA codon recognition, and the 3' end, to which the tRNAs corresponding amino acid is attached (by aminoacyl-tRNA synthetases). tRNAs cope with the degeneracy of the genetic code in two manners: having more than one tRNA (with a specific anti-codon) for a particular amino acid; and 'wobble' base-pairing, i.e. permitting non-standard base-pairing at the 3rd anti-codon position. The record is from Rfam. Lineage: Eukaryota; Fungi; Ascomycota; Saccharomycetes; Saccharomycetales; Saccharomycetaceae.